UUUGUAUAUUUACUGCAGUUUUUCAUGUAUACCAGUAGUCUGAUACAACAUUUACAGUUGGAAAGGGUGUCAAAUGACAUUUGGUGAUGAUUAAUGGUUUUUGUGUUAAUGUAAUAGCAGUUUAAACAGGACCGGUCCAAUUUGACCGCAAACACCAAAUUAAGGGGGGGAACACGAAGACAGUAGGAGGGUUAAACAUGAAUUCAU
Molecule: long non-coding RNA, 207 nt
Organism: Notothenia coriiceps (black rockcod)
Lineage: Eukaryota; Metazoa; Chordata; Actinopteri; Perciformes; Nototheniidae
Exons: 3
Source: RefSeq, a predicted model, not a curated record